UACCCGCUGAGUUUAAGCAUAUCAAUAAGCGGAGNAAA
Molecule: ribosomal RNA, 38 nt
Filed under: Combretum collinum subsp. gazense
Lineage: Eukaryota; Viridiplantae; Streptophyta; Magnoliopsida; Myrtales; Combretaceae
Description: partial 26S ribosomal RNA
Source: RNAcentral